UACCACCAUUGUUGUUUACAUAAUGUAUAGUAAUAUUUCAAAAAGAAGCUAUUUUGUUUUAAAUUAACUAAUAGGGAAAAACGGAUAGGAUAUUGGUAUUAUUAGAUUGCAUACAUGGAUACGAAGGAAAUUUCAGCAUUGGUAAUAGUACUGUUUGUUGAGUUUGUUGAUAUGGUAUUUGCCGAAUGUAAUGUUGGCUGCCAAUCAUGCUCUGGUUCGACUUGCACAAGUUGUGAAUCAUCCUACUAUUUAUCAAGUGGCUUCUGUUUGCCAUGCCCCGAGGAUUGUGAAAGUUGUAACAGCUGGGAUUACUGUACGUCAUGUAAGCCGUAAAAGUUUAGUUUGCAAGGAAGAUGUACUUUCAACUGUGAUGGUAAUUGUCUAAAUAGUGAAUGCGAUGGUGAUACUGGAUAUUGUACUCAGUGUAAGCCUGGUUUCUAUGGAUUUCAAUGUCAACAUAACUGUAGUUUAUAUGCCGAUGAACGUUGUGAUUUACGUAAAUGCUCAAGUGGUUGUAGAGCUGGAUAUUAUGAGUAUAAGAGCGAUGUCGAUACACUAUGUCAAACAUGUCAGUCAAAUUGUAAACAUUGUAGGGAUGGAAAAACGUGUUAUAUUUGCAAAAAAUCAUGGUUUUCAUCUCUUUAAGUUUAAUAACAACGUUCACUGUGUUUCAUGUUUCCAAGACACGCAAUGUCCAGACUGUUUUAUUGAAGGUUGUAAUAAGUGUCAAGUACACAUUGAUUCGUUAGUCUGCGCUGAUUGUCCAGAAGGACAAAUAUUUAAUGGUAAAACUUGCGGGUCACACACAUCAUCCUGCUCACAAGAAUGUUCUACGGAUUGUGAUAGUACUGGAAUAUGUCAAGGAGAAUGUAAUGCGAGUUGGACAGGUGAAAAAUGUUCAGAAACAUGUAACAGCAAGUGUUUUAAGUGCCCAAAAGAUAACGCAAAUGGUUGUCUACUGUGUAAAGGUAAUUUUUACUCAACCGAUUGCAGUUUAGAAUGCAAUCCUGCAUGCAUAUUGAUAAAUGAUAAACGUACAUGUGAACAGACAGACGGAUAUUGUUUGAACGAAUGUAACCAAUCAUUUUGGGACGAUACAUGCGAGAAACAUUGUCCUAGUGGAUGUUAAGAUCUUAAAUGUGAUAGAAACAACGGUACAUG
Ruditapes philippinarum (Manila clam) is the source of this 1161-nucleotide long non-coding RNA. RefSeq lists it as uncharacterized. Lineage: Eukaryota; Metazoa; Mollusca; Bivalvia; Venerida; Veneridae. The transcript has 3 exons. The record is from RefSeq and is a predicted model, not a curated record.